UAACACCAACUCAUAGUUCAUGGAACUCUUCAAAAAAUUAAUAUAUUGCACUAAUAUUCCACUGGGAAAUUUGAUAGGAUUAAAUAUGUUUAUAUUUCCUUAAUGUUUUUUUUGUUUGUUUUUUUGUUUUUGUCUUUGCACUUCCAAGGCUGGCAGUGGAACCACUGAGCUAAAUCCCUGGCAUAUUUCCUCAAUGUAAAGAAAUGAUUAAUCUAAAUGUUAAUAUAAGAAUACAUUCUUAUUAGAAAAUAAGCUCAUCUGUUCAUGGGGCAGCAGCACCACUGAACUAAAUCCCCGGCCCUGAACUUGGAUUUCUGUACAAUGGUAUUGGAAGUGAGAAAAUGUGUCAAAAUUACUGUAUAGUAUGACUCAACACUUCUAUUUGUAAGGUGUCCUGGAAAAUCUGUGAAACCUAAGCUCCUUUUGGAUUAUGAUGAUUCCCCUACAAACUACCU
This is a non-coding RNA of Heterocephalus glaber (naked mole-rat), 455 nucleotides long. NCBI's taxonomy places the organism in Eukaryota, Metazoa, Chordata, Mammalia, Rodentia, Bathyergidae. The record is from RefSeq and is a predicted model, not a curated record.